GACGAACGCUGGCGGCGUGCUUAACACAUGCUUUUCGAACGGAAAGGCCCUGCUUUUGUGGGGUGCUCGAGUGGCGAACGGGUGAGUAACACGUGAGUAACCUGCCCUUGACUUUGGGAUAACUUCAGGAAACUGGGGCUAAUACCGGAUAGGAGCUCCUGCUGCAUGGUGGGGGUUGGAAAGUUUCGGCGGUUGGGGAUGGACUCGCGGCUUAUCAGCUUGUUGGUGGGGUAGUGGCUUACCGAGGCUUUGACGGGUAGCCGGCCUGAGAGGGUGACCGGCCACAUUGGGACUGAGAUACGGCCCAGACUCCUACGGGAGGCAGCAGUGGGGAAUAUUGCACAAUGGGCGGAAGCCUGAUGCAGCAACGCCGCGUGCGGGAUGACGGCCUUCGGGUUGUAAACCGCUUUCGCCUGUGACGAAGCGUGAGUGACGGUAAUGGGUAAAGAAGCACCGGCUAACUACGUGCCAGCAGCCGCGGUGAUACGUAGGGUGCGAGCGUUGUCCGGAUUUAUUGGGCGUAAAGGGCUCGUAGGUGGUUGAUCGCGUCGGAAGUGUAAUCUUGGGGCUUAACCCUGAGCGUGCUUUCGAUACGGGUUGACUUGAGGAAGGUAGGGGAGAAUGGAAUUCCUGGUGGAGCGGUGGAAUGCGCAGAUAUCAGGGGGAACACCAGUGGCGAAGGCGGUUCUCUGGGCCUUUCCUGACGCUGAGGAGCGAAAGCGUGGGGAGCGAACAGGCUUAGAUACCCUGGUAGUCCACGCUGUAAACGGUGGGUACUAGGUGUGGGGUCCAUUCCACGGGUUCCGUGCCGUAGCUAACGCUUUAAGUACCCCGCCUGGGGAGUACGGCCGCAAGGCUAAAACUCAAAGGAAUUGACGGGGCCCCGCACAAGCGGCGGAGCAUGCGGAUUAAUUCGAUGCAACGCGUAGAACCUUACCUGGGUUUGACAUGGAUCGGGAGUGCUCAGAGAUGGGUGUGCCUCUUUUGGGGUCGGUUCACAGGUGGUGCAUGGCUGUCGUCAGCUCGUGUCGUGAGAUGUUGGGUUAAGUCCCGCAACGAGCGCAACCCUUGUUCACUGUUGCCAGCACGUUAUGGUGGGGACUCAAUGGAGACCGCCGGGGUCAACUCGGAGGAAGGUGGGGAUGACGUCAAGUCAUCAUGCCCCUUAUGUCCAGGGCUUCACGCAUGCUACAAUGGCUGGUACAGAGAGUGGCGAGCCUGUGAGGGUGAGCGAAUCUCGGAAAGCCGGUCUCAGUUCGGAUUGGGGUCUGCAACUCGACCUCAUGAAGUCGGAGUCGCUAGUAAUCGCAGAUCAGCAACGCUGCGGUGAAUAAGUUCCCGGG
Molecule: ribosomal RNA, 1343 nt
Filed under: uncultured bacterium
Lineage: Bacteria
Description: 16S ribosomal RNA
Rfam family: Bacterial small subunit ribosomal RNA
Source: RNAcentral